This 82-nucleotide transfer RNA is filed under the name Rivihabitans pingtungensis. RNAcentral's name for it is "Rivicola pingtungensis tRNA-Leu". It matches the Rfam family "tRNA". Rfam says of the family: Transfer RNA (tRNA) molecules are approximately 80 nucleotides in length. Their secondary structure includes four short double-helical elements and three loops (D, anti-codon, and T loops). RNAcentral also lists the same sequence under 1 other name. Lineage: Bacteria; Pseudomonadati; Pseudomonadota; Betaproteobacteria; Neisseriales; Aquaspirillaceae. The record is from RNAcentral.
GCCCAGGUGGCGAAAUCGGUAGACGCAGGGGACUCAAAAUCCCCCGCCGCAAGGCGUGUCGGUUCGAGUCCGACCCUGGGCA